RNAcentral lists this ribosomal RNA (735 nucleotides) under uncultured Fusobacterium sp. Its description in RNAcentral is "bacterial SSU rRNA". It matches the Rfam family "Bacterial small subunit ribosomal RNA", at positions 28 to 776 of the family's 1533-position model. The record is from RNAcentral. Lineage: Bacteria; Fusobacteriati; Fusobacteriota; Fusobacteriia; Fusobacteriales; Fusobacteriaceae.
GAUGAACGCUGACAGAAUGCUUAACACAUGCAAGUCAACUUGAAUUUGGGUUUUUAACUUAGGUUUGGGUGGCGGACGGGUGAGUAACGCGUAAAGAACUUGCCUCACAGCUAGGGACAACAUUUGGAAACGAAUGCUAAUACCUAAUAUUAUGAUAAUAGGGCAUCCUAUAAUUAUGAAAGCUAUAAGCGCUGUGAGAGAGCUUUGCGUCCCAUUAGCUAGUUGGAGAGGUAACGGCUCACCAAGGCGAUGAUGGGUAGCCGGCCUGAGAGGGUGAUCGGCCACAAGGGGACUGAGACACGGCCCUUACUCCUACGGGAGGCAGCAGUGGGGAAUAUUGGACAAUGGACCAAGAGUCUGAUCCAGCAAUUCUGUGUGCACGAUGAAGUUUUUCGGAAUGUAAAGUGCUUUCAGUUGGGAAGAAAGAAAUGACGGUACCAACAGAAGAAGUGACGGCUAAAUACGUGCCAGCAGCCGCGGUAAUACGUAUGUCACGAGCGUUAUCCGGAUUUAUUGGGCGUAAAGCGCGUCUAGGUGGUUAUGUAAGUCUGAUGUGAAAAUGCAGGGCUCAACUCUGUAUUGCGUUGGAAACUGUAUAACUAGAGUACUGGGGAGGUAAGCGGAACUACAAGUGUAGAGGUGAAAUUCGUAGAUAUUUGCAGGAAUGCCGAUGGGGAAGCCAGCUUACUGGACAGAUACUGACGCUGAAGCGCGAAAGCGUGGGUAGCAAACAGG